This 216-nucleotide long non-coding RNA is filed under the name Mytilus galloprovincialis (Mediterranean mussel). Lineage: Eukaryota; Metazoa; Mollusca; Bivalvia; Mytilida; Mytilidae. The record is from RNAcentral.
UGCCUUGUUAUAUCAUGUAUAUCUAUAUAUUUACCAACUCUAUGUGUGAUAUUAGGAAAAUUGAUAGAUUAGGAAGAUUUAGCCAACGACUUGUACCCAUCUAUCUGAAUUUUUACGAUUUUCAUUUGAAAAGUAACACAUUAAGCCCUCCGUACAUAUCGAAGAUGGUAUUUUCUGGGAAAUCCUUUUGAUAGCAUCAAUUUAUAGACGAAAUAG